GACGAACGCUGGCGGCGUGCUUAACACAUGCAAGUCGAACGAAGUGGCGAACGGGUGAGUAACGCGUACUCAACCUGCCCUUCAGAGGGGGACAACAGUUGGAAACGACUGCUAAUACCGCAUACUGAAGGAGGGGAUUGCGUCUGAUUAGCUAGUGGGAGGGGUAACGGCCCCCCAAGGCGAUGAUCAGUCGCCGGUCUGAUAGGAGGAACGGCCACAUUGGGACGUAGACACGGCCCAGACUCCUACGGGAGGAAGCAGUGGGGAAUCUUCCGCAAUGGACGAAAGUCGGACGGAGCAACGCCGCGUGAGUGAUGACGGCCUUCGGGUUGUAAAGCGCUGUUAAUCGGGACGCGGUACCGGAAUAGAAAGCCACGGCUAACUACGUGCCAGCAGCCGCGGUAAUUC
RNAcentral lists this ribosomal RNA (408 nucleotides) under uncultured bacterium. RNAcentral describes it as "partial 16S ribosomal RNA". It matches the Rfam family "Bacterial small subunit ribosomal RNA", at positions 28 to 526 of the family's 1533-position model. The record is from RNAcentral.